This 267-nucleotide ribosomal RNA is filed under the name uncultured bacterium. RNAcentral's name for it is "partial small subunit ribosomal RNA". It matches the Rfam family "Bacterial small subunit ribosomal RNA", at positions 26 to 287 of the family's 1533-position model. The record is from RNAcentral.
AGGACGAACGCUGGCGGCGUGCCUCAUACAUGCAAGUGGAGCGACGAACCAGGCUUCGGCCUGGGGCAAAGCCGCGAACGGGUGAGUAACACGUGGGUUACCUGCCCCGAUGAUUGGGACAACCCGAGGAAACUCGGGCUAAUACCAAAUGUGCUCCUGGCCGUGAUGGCCAGGUGGAAAGGAAGCUUCGGCCUCCGCAUCGGGAUGGGCCCGCGGCCCAUUAGCUAGUUGGUGGGGUAAUGGCCUACCAAGGCGACGAUGGGUAGC